This 285-nucleotide long non-coding RNA is filed under the name Homo sapiens (human). RNAcentral describes it as "HSALNT0330572". The record is from RNAcentral. Lineage: Eukaryota; Metazoa; Chordata; Mammalia; Primates; Hominidae.
GCACUAAUUAGUAGCCAGGCUGUGUAACAUGCUGGGGAUUUGGUGAACAGUGUCUUCCCUCAGAUUUACAUCAGAGUGCGAAAGACACCGAAACAACUAUUCAGAUUUAGCAGCUGUGAAAAGUUGCUAUGAAAAGAAUACCAGGUGCUGUGAGAACAUAAGGCAUGUUAUCAUUAGAAAAAAAUACGACAAUUUCCAUUUUGGAGAAACAGUAUCUAUGCUAUCCCAUCCCUUCUUUAAAAGUAUACAUGUGAAAUAAAACACUGGAAAAUAAACUAAUUUUCG